RNAcentral lists this ribosomal RNA (540 nucleotides) under uncultured bacterium. RNAcentral describes it as "partial 16S ribosomal RNA". It matches the Rfam family "Bacterial small subunit ribosomal RNA", at positions 355 to 914 of the family's 1533-position model. The record is from RNAcentral.
UGGGGAAUAUUGGACAAUGGGCGCAAGCCUGAUCCAGCAAUGCCGCGUGAGUGAUGAAGGCCCUAGGGUUGUAAAGCUCUUUCGCACGCGACGAUGAUGACGGUAGCGUGAGAAGAAGCCCCGGCUAACUUCGUGCCAGCAGCCGCGGUAAUACGAAGGGGGCUAGCGUUGUUCGGAAUUACUGGGCGUAAAGGGCGCGUAGGCGGCCUGUUUAGUCAGAAGUGAAAGCCCCGGGCUCAACCUGGGAAUAGCUUUUGAUACUGGCAGGCUUGAGUUCCGGAGAGGAUGGUGGAAUUCCCAGUGUAGAGGUGAAAUUCGUAGAUAUUGGGAAGAACACCGGUGGCGAAGGCGGCCAUCUGGACGGACACUGACGCUGAGGCGCGAAAGCGUGGGGAGCAAACAGAUUAGAUACCCUGGUAGUCCACGCCGUAAACGAUGAAUGCUAGACGUCGGGGUGCAUGCACUUCGGUGUCGCCGCUAACGCAUUAAGCAUUCCGCCUGGGGAGUACGGCCGCAAGGUUAAAACUCAAAUGAAUUGAC